Molecule: ribosomal RNA, 500 nt
Filed under: uncultured bacterium
Lineage: Bacteria
Description: partial 16S ribosomal RNA
Rfam family: Bacterial small subunit ribosomal RNA
Source: RNAcentral
AUUGAACGCUGGCGGCAUGCUUUACACAUGCAAGUCGAGCGGCAGCGCGGGGGCAACCCUGGCGGCGAGCGGCGAACGGGUGAGUAAUGCAUCGGAACGUACCCUGGAGUGGGGGAUAACGCCGCGAAAGCGGCGCUAAUACCGCAUAUGCUCUGAGGAGGAAAGUGGGGGACCGCAAGGCCUCACGCUCUGGGAGCGGCCGAUGUCCGAUUAGCUAGUUGGUGGGGUAAAGGCUUACCAAGGCGACGAUCGGUAGCUGGUCUGAGAGGAUGAUCAGCCACACUGGGACUGAGACACGGCCCAGACUCCUACGGGAGGCAGCAGUGGGGAAUUUUGGACAAUGGGGGCAACCCUGAUCCAGCCAUGCCGCGUGAGUGAAGAAGGCCUUCGGGUUGUAAAGCUCUUUUGGUCGGGAAGAAAGUGCCCUGCUUAAUACGCGGGGUAUUUGACGGUACCGGCAGAAUAAGCACCGGCUAACUACGUGCCAGCAGCCGCCGUAA